CAGUUAAGGAUAAAGUUAAAUCGGUUGAGAUGUUGCCCUAUUUCUCCUUUGCUUCCAAGUUCAAUCGGUUGAGGAUCAAUCUUCGACUGUUUGGGAAUUUAUGUUUGCAUUCAACCGGUAGAAAUGUUCAAUCGGACAAGACACUCCAUCUGAUGCUUAUGCUCUUCUUCUACUGGCUGAAGAUAGAUCCUCGACCGGUUGAACAUUCUGAACUUUUACUUCUGUGUUCUUCCUACCGUAGUACCUAAAUGUUUAACUGGUAGACUUGAAGAAACCCUAAACUUAGUGCAACCAACUACCAAUCACUACUGGUUCGAUUCAUCGCCUCUUUCGACCUCCGUCAUGCUCCAUUGUACCUACAAAACAGUUAACCCCACUUGCACCAAAUAAUGAUUAAGUAGAAUAAAUAAUAUGCGUAAAUAUACUAAAGUGCAGGGGAACUAUACCGAUGAAUAGCUAUAAAAUGAAUGAAUUACUUUCACGUGAAAAGGUUAUAAAUAUAGACCACUCAUUCAGAAUUCAUAUAGCCUCACUUAAUAUAAAUAAUAAACUCACGCCCUUCUUCGCCUCUAGAUUUCAAAUUUCAUCCCAAAUAAAACAAGGAAAUAGUUCUAGAGUAGGGAGUAGGGGUAGGGGUAGGGGCAGAGGUCGGAGUCGGAGUGAUAACCACAUAAGAGCUAUAGGACCACAAUAGCGUAGGAAUCGCCUCGUUUUAUAGAAAAGGAUAUUGUUGUCUCAUACUAUGACAACAACCACUAUCAAUUGCUACCUGAACUACAUCCUAGCUUACUACCGGAACGGCUAUGACAACAACCACUAUCAAUUGCUACCUGAACUACAUCCUAGCUUACUACCGGAACGGCUAUGACAACAACCACUAUCAAUUGCUACCUGAACUAUAGCCUAGCUUACUACCGGAACGGAAGACUAUAUUUUGUAUGUCCCGAAUGACAGUACCAUCUCUACAACAAAAUCUCUAGUGAAAAUUAAAGUAUGAUAAUUAAUGUUGCUUGGAAUCU
RNAcentral lists this long non-coding RNA (1019 nucleotides) under Actinidia chinensis (golden kiwifruit). RNAcentral describes it as "long non-coding RNA (ACHI_LNC006153)". Lineage: Eukaryota; Viridiplantae; Streptophyta; Magnoliopsida; Ericales; Actinidiaceae. The record is from RNAcentral.